AGAGUUUGAUCCUGGCUCAGGAUGAACGCUAGCGGCAGGCUUAAUACAUGCAAGUCGAGGGGCAGCAUGGGUGUAGCAAUACAUCUGAUGGCGACCGGCAAACGGGUGCGGAACACGUACAGAACCUUCCUUCGAGCGGGGGAUAGCCCAGAGAAAUUUGGAUUAAUACCCCAUAGUAUAUUGAAGAGGCAUCUCUUUAAUAUUAAAGAUUUAUCACUUGAAGAUGGCUGUGCGGCUGAUUAGGUAGUUGGCGGGGUAAUGGCCCACCAAGCCUGCGAUCAGUAACUGGUGUGAGAGCACGACCAGUCACACGGGCACUGAGACACGGGCCCGACUCCUACGGGAGGCAGCAGUAAGGAAUAUUGGGCAAUGGAGGCAACUCUGACCCAGCCAUGCCGCGUGGAGGAUGAAGGCCCUCUGGGUUGUAAACUUCUUUUAUAUGGGACGAAAAAGGGCUUUUCUAAGUCAACUGACGGUACCAUAUGAAUAAGCACCGGCUAACUCCGUGCCAGCAGCCGCGGUAAUACGGAGGGUGCAAGCGUUAUCCGGAUUCACUGGGUUUAAAGGGUGCGUAGGUGGGUUGGUAAGUCAGUGGUGAAAUCUCCGGGCUUAACCCGGAAACUGCCAUUGAUACUAUCAGUCUUGAAUAUUGUGGAGGUCAGCGGAAUAUGUCAUGUAGCGGUGAAAUGCUUAGAUAUGACAUAGAACACCAAUUGCGAAGGCAGCUGGCUACUCAUAUAUUGACACUGAGGCACGAAAGCGUGGGGAUCAAACAGGAUUAGAUACCCUAGUAGUCC
This 797-nucleotide ribosomal RNA is filed under the name uncultured bacterium. RNAcentral describes it as "bacterial SSU rRNA". It matches the Rfam family "Bacterial small subunit ribosomal RNA", at positions 8 to 796 of the family's 1533-position model. The record is from RNAcentral.